This 104-nucleotide small nuclear RNA is filed under the name Nomascus leucogenys (northern white-cheeked gibbon). The record is from RNAcentral. Lineage: Eukaryota; Metazoa; Chordata; Mammalia; Primates; Hylobatidae.
GUGCUCACUUCAGCAGCACAUAUAUUAAAAUUGGAACGAUACAGAGAUUAGCAUGGCCCCUGUGCAAAGAUGACACGCAAAUUUGUGAUGCGUUCCAUAUUCUU